GACAGGUGCUGCAUGGCUGUCGUCAGCUCGUGUCGUGAGAUGUUCGGUUAAGUCCGCUAACGAGCGCAACCCUCGCUGUGUGUUACAAGUGUCACACGGAACUGCCGGUCAUAAACCGGAGGAAGGUGGGGAUGACGUCAAGUCAGCAUGGCCUUUAUAUCCUGGGCUACACACACGCUACAAUGGGAAGGGACAAUAGGUUGCGAAACCGCGAGGUGGAGCCAAUCCAGCAAAACUUCCCUCAGUUCAGAUUGCAGGCUGCAACUCGCCUGCAUGAAGUUGGAGUUGCUAGUAAGCGCAGGUCAGCCAUACUGCGUUGAAUACGUUCCCGGGGCUU
Molecule: ribosomal RNA, 337 nt
Filed under: uncultured Anaerolineaceae bacterium
Lineage: Bacteria; Bacillati; Chloroflexota; Anaerolineae; Anaerolineales; Anaerolineaceae
Description: bacterial SSU rRNA
Rfam family: Bacterial small subunit ribosomal RNA
Source: RNAcentral